RNAcentral lists this non-coding RNA (86 nucleotides) under Gloeochaete wittrockiana. Lineage: Eukaryota; Glaucocystophyceae; Gloeochaetales; Gloeochaetaceae. The record is from RNAcentral.
UCAGCUAUUGCCAAGGCUAUCGCUCGUCUCGUCUCGUCUCGUCUUGUCUCGUCCGCGUCUUUCCCGUCCCACCCACCUUCCCCCAU